AUACGGAGGAUCCGAGCGUUAUCCGGAUUUAUUGGGUUUAAAGGGUGCGCAGGCGGGAGAUUAAGUCGGCGGUGAAAUUUUGCAGCUCAACUGUAAAAGUGCCUUCGAAACUGGUUUCCUUGAGUGUAGAUGAAGUAGGCGGAAUUUGUGGUGUAGCGGUGAAAUGCAUAGAUAUCACGAGGAACUCCGAUUGCGCAGGCAGCUUACUAAACUACUACUGACGCUCAGGCAGGAAGGCGUGGGGAUCAAACAGGAUUAGAUACCCUGGUAGUCCACGCAGUAAACGAUGAUUACUAGCUGUUUGCGAUACAAUGUAAGCGGCUGAGCGAAAGCGUUAAGUAAUCCACCUGGGGAGUACGUUCGCAAGAAUGAAACUCAAAUGAAUUGACGGGG
RNAcentral lists this ribosomal RNA (393 nucleotides) under uncultured bacterium. RNAcentral describes it as "partial 16S ribosomal RNA". It matches the Rfam family "Bacterial small subunit ribosomal RNA", at positions 523 to 918 of the family's 1533-position model. The record is from RNAcentral.